This 518-nucleotide ribosomal RNA is filed under the name uncultured bacterium. RNAcentral's name for it is "bacterial SSU rRNA". It matches the Rfam family "Bacterial small subunit ribosomal RNA", at positions 58 to 576 of the family's 1533-position model. The record is from RNAcentral.
CAUGUUGGACGAGGCACUUGUGCCUAGUAGCAAAUGGGUGAGUAACACGUACUUAAUUUGCCCUUUAGAUUGGGACAACUAUUGGAAACGAUAGCUAAUACCGAAUAUUCUUGUUUACAUAAGUAAGCGUAGUAAAAGGGGCGUUUGCCCCACUAAAGGAUAAGAGUGCGUCAUAUUAGUUAGUUGGUAAGGUAAGAGCUUACCAAGACGAUGAUAUGUAGCGGGGUCGAGAGGCUGAACCGCCACACUGGGACUGAGAUACGGCCCAGACUCCUACGGGAGGCAGCAGUAUUGAAUAUUUCACAAUGAGCGAAAGCUUGAUGAAGCGACACAUCGUGCAGGAUGACGGCCCUUGGGUUGUAAACUGCUGUUGUAAGGGAAGAACAACAUUAGUAGGAAAUGAUUAAUGUCUGACGGUACCUUAUUAGAAAGCACCGGCAAACUAUGUGCCAGCAGCCGCGGUAAUACAUAGGGUGCAAGCGUUAUCCGGAAUUAUUGGGCGUAAAGCGUCUAUAGGU